Long non-coding RNA from Brachypodium distachyon (stiff brome), 2886 nucleotides. RefSeq lists it as uncharacterized. The record is from RefSeq and is a predicted model, not a curated record. The transcript has 4 exons. Lineage: Eukaryota; Viridiplantae; Streptophyta; Magnoliopsida; Poales; Poaceae.
AGAGCCACACGCGCGCCUCCCCGCGCCCACGUCUCGGAUGCUCCCUGAAAACCCCGACGGCAACGGUGGCGGCUGCGGGAGCCAUGGCGCACCGCGCGUGCCGGAGUCUCCCGGAAUCGAUCGCGGCCGCAUUCGGCUGCGCGGCGAUCCCCUCCUCCUUUUAUCCAACGCAGAGGUCUCUCUCGCGCCCCCCGCACUGGUGAACUCGCCGCCCGGCUGGCUCCGCUCAAGUUAACUUGUUAUAUUGCGUCUACUACCCGCGUAAGUAAACAGGCAUUUAUGCACUGUUACUUUCAAGAAAGGAGAUCAGCUUCCACUUCCAUUCGAUGUGGAUAGCUAACAGGUCAACAUUAAUUCGUAAGAGAAGUCAUGGUCAAGCCUGCCCAAAUUGCCCAUCCCCUUUGCGUGCAGGGAGAACAGUAGUUUCCACAAACCAGAGAAUUAAUGCAAGAUUUCCCAGGCUGCGGAGUGGCAGACACUCUCAGUGCAGGGAGGGGAUUAGGGUUUGAUUUUUCUUUAACUGAUUAAUUGGUAAUUAAUUCACCGGCCCUGCCAAAAUUCUCUGAACCGAGAUGGUUCACAGGUAAGUUCUUAUUCAGUUCUACUUUUAAUUUUUUGUCACUGGGAGUUGAGAGAACUACGUUACUAAGAAAGUCAACACUGUAUAUGUUGCUGUGUAUAGACGUUAAGAUAGAGGUCUUAUCACGUGCUCUCAUGAUGCAUAUCUUAACUAGGAAGGCAAGAAAUACUGUGCUCUAAGACUUUCCUUUUUUUCCUGAAAAAUAUAGUACCAACUUGCAGUUGUAGUGUUAUAUUUACAGAAAACUUUUUACUUUUCACAGCAUCAAUGAAUCUUGUGAAAAAAUCGGUGUUAGACCCUGCUAUCUCGAUAAAAAAAUUAUCUCAUGCCGUAAUGGAUGAUGUUUUGCAUGGAAAAAUCACUGAAUCGCUACAUGAUUGCUUACUACCUUGCAUAAGGCAGAAGAUGCUGAAAUUACAUUGUUCUAGAAGCAAUGCAAUUAAAUUAUUGGAAUUUGAAACAAUGGUCUAAUGACGUGCUCCAUUAAAACCUUGACAUGGACGGUAAGACUUUGCUUAAAAUUAUUUAUGUGAAUGUGGAAAAAUACCUCUUAUCUUAUCCAUUAAAAAGUAUUGCUGAAGAGAGAUUUAGUCAUACACCAAAGUAUCUCUUGUUUUGUAGUACAUAGAAGCGAAAACUACGUGCAUCUGGUGGGCAGCAGGCCCUGGUUGCUGACAUCAUUCGAUUAAAAAUUUCUUCCUAUAUGAUAUCUAUCCACCCUUUGAAUUUUAUAAUCUUUUAGUUUGGAAUCAAUGAUUGGUACAUAACUCAAAUCAGGGACAUGCAUAAUAUAUUACAUGUGUACUACUCUUGCCAACCACACACUAAAAUAUAUGAUUUUGCUCAAUUGUCUGUUUUGCUGACGCAACGCCAGAUGCACGCACUCCUGAGCUUUUUCAGCAUUCUUCUUAACUUUUUAUGAUCCUUUGCACAGUUUUUUUUUAAGAAAAUGAAUUGUGGGUGUUAAAGGUAGCAAAGGUGGUGCCUGAUUGUGUUGUGGUUGGUGCCUGAAUGUGUAGGGUAUUAUAUAUAGUAGAUAGUACACAAAAUAUAUUGUAUGUGUCUCAAAUGGGAGGUUGGCUUAUAGCACUAGAAAUUCUCUCGUGAUAUUCUACAUUAGUAUGUGUCUUCUCUUGUACUCUUCUACUCCAUUAUAGUGUAUCAUAAACAAUAUGGGGCUGCCCUCUGAGGGAAAGCACCAUGCUGGUUCACAUCAUCUAAAUUAUUUUGACGAGUGUAUCUUAGAAUAAAUGGAAUCCCAAUCCUAGAUCUUAUCAGGUGGAUAUAUAUUGCCCUUGGACGUUUAGGUGUAACCGUUGUACAUACGAUACCACGCUCUCAUAUUGGCGUGCUCCCCACAUUGCCUAAUAAUAUUAUAUUAAGUUACUGUUUUUGAGUUUAAAGGCAACAUUGGGUUGCAAGAUACUGAUAGAAAUUUUGCAGAAGUUUUAUCCUAUUUUUGUUUCCUACAUAGGGUAGUUUCAACUGUAGAAAUACACUGUAAAACUCAUAUCAAAUGCUUUCUUAAUCCUCCAACAUGAGCAGGAACACCAUGUCACCUCAAAUAUUUAUAUAGUUUGACUUGGCAUGUAAACAUGAUUAGAGUGACAUUACUUAUUGGAUUCUAGAGAAAUCAAAGCCAUUUCGUUUCAAUUCAAUUACCAAAAGGAAUUUCAUAUCCAAAAUGUGUAGACAUUAAUUCCUUCGAAGAAAUCCUGUAAUCCAAGGGUCCCUCGAGCAAUUUGUCCUCUUUUGAAUUAUUCUCACUUUUCCUAGUUUUUUUGUUGUAAAAAGAGAAGUGGACUGUUUAAUUGAUUUGAGAAUCAGGUGGCUCAUAGCCAAUCAGGCAGCAACAUAUAUACGAUCAUAUAUAUCUAUGUCGAGGAAAAGAGCGGACUACUGGCCCAUCACCACGUACGUUGUCCUUCCAACCAAAUUUAAGGUGUCGUUGUGAUGGAGCAACCACGAUGAUGAAUGUGAUCCCUGAAACCAAACAUAGUAUAAUUGCAGCCUUAUGGAGUCAGAUCGUCGAGCAACACGAAUUAGAUGUGGCUUUGACUGAUUGAUUUCAGAGAAGGUAUUCUUCAUUGACAGUUAUAUUCUUUUAAACAUCGAUAUCGUACACGCACAAGAUAGGAGUAUAUAUACAUCUCAUUCAUUUAACCACUCUGCACUAUUAGGAAAUACGUAGGAGUACAAGUAAAGUACAGCGCGCCAUUUGCCAAAUCAAAAUAAUGUACACUGUUGGUAAAAUUACAUGGACGUACAGUAAGUCCUCCCUAACCAAAUGAAACCGGUCGUACGUA